This is a long non-coding RNA of Pieris rapae (cabbage white), 366 nucleotides long. RefSeq lists it as uncharacterized. The record is from RefSeq and is a predicted model, not a curated record. Lineage: Eukaryota; Metazoa; Arthropoda; Insecta; Lepidoptera; Pieridae. The transcript has 2 exons.
UCAGUCAUCAGUGUUCUGUCAAAGCAGUUAUAGGUUUUUACUCCUGCAGCCAACUCGGACGUGGUUUGCGAUGGAUCCGCUUUCACAAUAGCCUUUAAUUCUUCAUUAUCGACUUGGGACUCAGGCCGUCCACGGGACUCGUUCUGCAGGUCGAAAUUUCCAGAACGAAAACAUUGGAACCAAAAACGAACUGUGUUUUCUUUUGCAACAUGACCGCCAUACACAUCAUUCACCCUUCGAGUCGUUUCGGCAGCACUAUUGCCACGGCGGAACUCGUACUCGUAAAUAAUGCGAUACUUUAAGUUUUCCAUUUUGUAAAAUGAGUGACGCAAACAGAAAAAAACAAAUGAAUGACGGUCAUCGAAG